CAUAGGAACGGAACAUAUGCAGGUAUAUACAUAUAAAUACAUUUCACAGAAUAACACAAUGUUAGGAAUUGGAAGGGACCUUGAAAAAUCAUUUAGCUCAUAUAUAAAUAAUGACAAGUGCCAAGGGGCACAACAAAGUCGUUUCUCCGCCACCAUUCUCAGGAGCUGCCCCCACAGCCAGAGCCUUGCUGCAGAUAUAAGGCCGGCUCUGCCAACAGCUUGAAGUCGCCACGUCCUCGCCAUUCAAGUAGACGCACUCUGCGCCGCCCUGCACUGUGAACCUGCGACGACAAGGAAUGCCACUGCAGCCUCAGCACUCCCCGUGCCCUCUGGCAGCAGUGCACAGCCAGGACUGCCUGCAAGGCAUGGUCCCGGCACACCAGAGCCGCUGGGCUCUGCCCGCUCGCAGAACUCACGUCUCCUUGAAGCUGCUGCCAUCCACCCACAGCAGGCGCUCACCCCGUCUCCGCAGCCCAAGCCAGGAAUCCGCGCUGUCUUUGAGUUGUCUCAGAAAGUUCUGGGCGGCAAGGAGAGAGGCAGAUGGUCAGAAGCUGCUGGAGUACCACGCUCCCGUCAGCCCCACGGGACUCGCUGCCCCGCUGCGGGACAUCCAGCCUGGCUGUCCCAGCCCCACAGCCACCCAUCACCCCGCACUCACCAAUUCCCAGUCCCUCAUCACCAUGGCCAGCGAGGCCCCAUGUGUUGUGCACUGCUCCUGGCUCCAAUUCCAGCUGCCUAGCUUCUGCUGCCCCGACAGGUAGUAGCAGACGUUGCGGUACCCAACCCAUUCGUAAGGGCACGCCAGCACCGGGGCUGCCUUCUGCCUGUGCACAGCUGUUGCAGAGCAAAGAG
Cygnus olor (mute swan) is the source of this 852-nucleotide long non-coding RNA. RefSeq lists it as uncharacterized. Lineage: Eukaryota; Metazoa; Chordata; Aves; Anseriformes; Anatidae. The transcript has 2 exons. The record is from RefSeq and is a predicted model, not a curated record.